UAAGGCACGAGGUGCUUCGGUCCGGACGGGAAACCGUCCGGUGAAAAGGGAACACGGUGCGCCAGGCCCAGGCCUGGCAAUUCCGUGACUGCCCCCGCAACUGUAAGCGGCGAGCGAAGCCGGACCAUGUCACUGUUGCGCGGAUCGCGCGAUGGGAAGACCCGGCCAAGCGACGACCCGCGAGUCAGGAGACCUGCCGGAGUGAUCACCCUGUC
RNAcentral lists this non-coding RNA (215 nucleotides) under Paracoccaceae bacterium. The record is from RNAcentral. Lineage: Bacteria; Pseudomonadati; Pseudomonadota; Alphaproteobacteria; Rhodobacterales; Paracoccaceae.